CCAAGAGGCUGAGGUCAAACAGUUUAUCCUGUCCCAGAUUACAACUAUAUCAGUGUUCAAGUCCUUAUUGCUUUUGACCCUCAGAUCAGGUGGAGGGGGACCAUAUGCCAGAACAUCACAGCAUUGAGAAGCUGCACCCCAUACAGGACCACAUGUGCCAGCAGAGCUCACCAAUAAUAAUGGGGAGGACUGAAGUAACUGCUUUUAAUAGCAGCAUCAUGGAAAAUGUGUCACCACCAUCACCUCAUAGCUCACUCAGGAACAACCUGUUAAGAAGGACAUGAGAUGCUUAAUCUGCACAGUAAUAAAUAUCACACAAACUCAAUU
Long non-coding RNA from Lacerta agilis (Sand lizard), 327 nucleotides. RefSeq lists it as uncharacterized. Lineage: Eukaryota; Metazoa; Chordata; Lepidosauria; Squamata; Lacertidae. The record is from RefSeq and is a predicted model, not a curated record. The transcript is spliced from 2 exons.